RNAcentral lists this ribosomal RNA (731 nucleotides) under uncultured bacterium. RNAcentral describes it as "bacterial SSU rRNA". It matches the Rfam family "Bacterial small subunit ribosomal RNA", at positions 771 to 1501 of the family's 1533-position model. The record is from RNAcentral.
AACAGGAUUAGAUACCCUGGUAGUCCACGCUGUAAACGAUGUCGACUUGGAGGUUGUGCCCUUGAGGCGUGGCUUCCGGAGCUAACGCGUUAAGUCGACCGCCUGGGGAGUACGGCCGCAAGGUUAAAACUCAAAUGAAUUGACGGGGGCCCGCACAAGCGGUGGAGCAUGUGGUUUAAUUCGAUGCAACGCGAAGAACCUUACCUACUCUUGACAUCCAGAGAAUUUGCUAGAGAUAGCUUAGUGCCUUCGGGAACUCUGAGACAGGUGCUGCAUGGCUGUCGUCAGCUCGUGUUGUGAAAUGUUGGGUUAAGUCCCGCAACGAGCGCAACCCUUAUCCUUUGUUGCCAGCACGUAAUGGGGGGAACUCAAAGGAGACUGCCGGUGAUAAACCGGAGGAAGGUGGAGAUGACGUCAAGUCAUCAUGGCCCUUACGAGUAGGGCUACACACGUGCUACAAUGGCAUAUACAAAGAGAAGCGAACUCGCGAGAGCAAGCGGACCUCAUAAAGUAUGUCGUAGUCCGGAUUGGAGUCUGCAACUCGACUCCAUGAAGUCGGAAUCGCUAGUAAUCGUAGAUCAGAAUGCUACGGUGAAUACGUUCCCGGGCCUUGUACACACCGCCCGUCACACCAUGGGAGUGGGUUGCAAAAGAAGUAGGUAGCUUAACCUUCGGGAGGGCGCUUACCACUUUGUGAUUCAUGACUGGGGUGAAGUCGUAACAAGGUAACC